UAAGAACGGGUCAGGGUGCCGGUCGGUAGCCGCGGCGAGGAUGAGACGGGCCGGAUAGGGAGCCGGUUGGCGGCAGUGCGACCAGCGAGGGAGUGGUCCAGUCGGUGACGGUGUGGGCUACGAGAGACCCGGUCGGUGGCGCUGGCUACGAGGAGUCGGACGGCGGCAGCGACGUUUGCUGCGAGGAGACGUACGACGGCGGUGGUGCUGGCUACUAGAGGGCACUUAAUUAAGAGAAGGGCGAUGGCGAGACAUCGGUGGUGAUCGGAAGGCGGAGGUGCUGCAGACGGUAGGGUCGGUGCUUACGUGUACUUUGCUGUACGGUGUGGUGUAUUAAGUAGUGGAUAAGUAAUGGAGUGAAAGGCAAUGGGACGUUUACGCAUUAUUUUACCCAAAUUUAUGGGAUACACCAUGGUAGCAGUAGGUACUGUGUGCGGAAGAGCGCAGGGUAGACCCUUCUCCGGAGGCCGGUCCAACGCGAAGUCCUGUUUCCACGAGCUGAGGUGCAAUACGAAGUUUGUAGAGAAUGAACGACCCUUAACAAAGUAAUGAAGUGUACGGGGAAACGUAAAAAAGGGGGACUAAACACGAAAUGAGAGUGAAACAGUACACGUUGUUACCAUUUUACAAUUAUACUUUUUAGUCCGAAAGUUUAAGGUACCAUGAACGAUAUCAAGAAAAUCUAUGUCUAGCUAACGAGUAGGUUUAUUUGAUACAACUAAUACCUUUUAAUCCGAAAGUUUAAAUUACCAUGAACGAUAUCAAGAAGAUCUAUGUCUAGCUAACAAGUAGGUUUAUUUGAGAGAACCAAGGAGUAUAAUAAUAUGGGCUUUGUGAGGGAGAUCCAUGAUCUACUUGACUAGCUUUUCUCCGUUCCCCAUUCCAAUAGCUAAGUAAAAAACCUGUCAAGUCAAUCAAUUUACUAAUACACCCGUAUACUCAUAUAAACAAUGGUUACGUUGUAUAUAGAAACUUUUUUAAUUCUAUCUGGUACCACAAGUACAGCUAAGAUAGUCGUAAACACAAUAGGAGGAAGACGUGAUAGGGUCUAACGUGAGGGCCUAGCGUGCACUGCCUGUAAAACGAAGUAUCUAGAGAACGAAGAACGUAGCUAGUUUUUACCUCAGAUUACGACCUAGUAGGAGAAGGGGUUCACUUUGCAAGUCACUUUAUCUAUUAGUAUACCUUACAGAGAUAUAAUGUGGUUUGCUCCGACAAACCGCGAACGGACUCAUAGUGUAAGUGGGAUGUAUGGACAGGUGUUUUUCUGAGGGACAAUAUGAAUUACCUUACUUCUUACUAAGUCAUAGGGUCAAGGGGUAUCCAGUACAGUUUUUCUUUUCGAAGAGUUAGUUGUUGCGUGUGCACGAAGCGAGAUGUUUCGGUAGAGGUUAGUUUCUUAACUACUGGGUAGGUAGAAGUUGUUAUUUAUAACUCUCAUACUACUAGGUUUGUGGUCUCCUGAGUUUGUUAUGAUGUGUAGGGAGAACGGGUCCGCGUUGAUAGUUGUGAGUCUUUUUUGUUCUGUUCGUGAGAAAUCGAUUUUCCUAGCGACUUAAAUGUCUUCUACUUUGGUGGUUGUUUCUCUCAGUUUUCCUCCAACUAGAACUCCGACGUCUUGAAGUAGAAGUUCAACAGUUUUUCGUAUUCGUUGUGUUACGUCCUUUGUUGUACUGUUACUUAUCGAUUCUUUCCGGUUCUCCUAUUGUGGCUAUUUUUUUGUAUCCUAUAACAGUUCGUGAGUGAGUUCGUCGUUGUUUGAUGUGACGGAAGAUAAACUUAAUGAAUGUAACACCGAAAUUAACAUUAGAGAUAGUAAUCAUCAUGAAAACCCACUAGGCUACGUACAUGACUCAAUACCUAUUACGAAUACGUUGAUAUAUGCCCGGCCUAAUGUAACGGAAAAUA
RNAcentral lists this ribosomal RNA (1908 nucleotides) under Triticum aestivum (bread wheat). RNAcentral describes it as "partial small subunit ribosomal RNA". The record is from RNAcentral. Lineage: Eukaryota; Viridiplantae; Streptophyta; Magnoliopsida; Poales; Poaceae.